Molecule: transfer RNA, 73 nt
Filed under: Ixodes scapularis (black-legged tick)
Lineage: Eukaryota; Metazoa; Arthropoda; Arachnida; Ixodida; Ixodidae
Description: tRNA-Val
Source: RNAcentral
GUGUUUGUUGUGUAGUGGUUAUCACAUCCGCCUAACACGCGGAAGGUCCUAGGUCCGAUCCCUGGCAGGCACA